CCUGACGUGGGCCGCGGGACGCGGCCGUCUGCGUGACUGGUCGAACGGCGGGGGCGUCGUUCGACAUGCGGCGGGAUCGCUACCCGGCGUCGAGC
This 95-nucleotide transfer RNA is filed under the name Betaproteobacteria bacterium. RNAcentral describes it as "tRNA-Val". The record is from RNAcentral. Lineage: Bacteria; Pseudomonadati; Pseudomonadota; Betaproteobacteria.